CGUAGGGUGCGAGCGUUAAUCGGAAUUACUGGGCGUAAAGCGUGCGCAGGCGGUUUUGUAAGACAGGCGUGAAAUCCCCGGGCUCAACCUGGGAACUGCGCUUGUGACUGCAAGGCUAGAGUACGGCAGAGGGGGGUGGAAUUCCACGUGUAGCAGUGAAAUGCGUAGAGAUGUGGAGGAACACCAAUGGCGAAGGCAGCCCCCUGGGUCGAUACUGACGCUCAUGCACGAAAGCGUGGGUAGCAAACAGGAUUAGAUACCCUGGUAGUCCACGCCCUAAACGAUGUCAACUAGGUGUUGGGUGGGUAAAACCAUUUAGUACCGGAGCUAACGCGUGAAGUUGACCGCCUGGGGAGUACGGCUGCAAGGUUA
Molecule: ribosomal RNA, 372 nt
Filed under: uncultured organism
Description: bacterial SSU rRNA
Rfam family: Bacterial small subunit ribosomal RNA
Source: RNAcentral